GAGAAUCAAGAUAGUUGGAUGACUAAGAUUGUGACCACACCUUAUGGGAUCAGUUUAUGGAGAUCCAUAAGAGCAUUAUGGGAGGAAGUUAAACCCAAAUUCAAGAUGAAAGUGGGGAAUGGGAACAAAAUCAAAUUCUGGAAGGAUGAAUGGCAUGAGAAAGGUAACCUGGAAACUCUUUUCCCUGAUAUUUACAAUCUGGCAAUGUUCCAACAAAGAACUAUUGCAGAACUAUGGACACCACAAGGGUGGAAUUUCAUCUUCAGGAGAGAACCAAAUGACUGGGAAGUGAUGAGGUUGGCAGAAUUCCUCAAGUUGGUUGGACAUUUUACUGGACUUCAGGCAUAUGAGGAUAUGCUUUGGUGGAAAGGCAACAAUAGAGGAGAGUUCAAAGUGCAUUCAGCUUACAGGCUGAUGGAUGAAUCAAGCCAGCAGAGUCCCAUCUGGCCUUGGAAACAAGUAUGGAAGUGUAGAAUCCCACACAAAGUCUCAUGCUUUAUUUGGCUGCUAGCUAAGGAAGCUGCCCUGACUCAGGAUAAUGUAAUGAAAAGGGGGAUAACCUUAUGCUCUAGGUGUUUCCUAUGUGGGGAAACCUUAGAAACUGUAAACCAUCUAUUUCUACACUGCAAAUACACCCGGCAGCUUUGGAGGAUUUUCUUGAGCCUUAAAGGCAUAUCCUGGACUAUGCCUAGGAGAGUUACUGAGGCCUUGUACAGCUGGGAGGAGGCAGGUGCCCUUGCAAAAGACAGAACUAGAUGGAGAAUUAUCCCUGCUUCAAUAUGGUGGGCAAUCUGGAAAGAAAGGAAUUCCAGAUGUUUUGAAGGCAUAGAAAAUAGUGUGCAGGAUGUUAAACUAAACUGCAUUUUGUUGUUAUGUUUUUGGUGUAAUCAAUUAUACUCAAAUGACACUGUCUCUAUAGUUGAUGUUCUAGACUCAAUAUAGAAAUAGAGUAGGAGUGUCUAGAGUGCAUCUGUAUAUAAGGUUUGAGUACAACCCAUGUACUUUUGUGAUAUAAUACAUCGUUACCAUUUUCAAAAAAAAAAAGCUGUAGUAAUCUACUGCAAAUAGAAAUAAAAAAUAAAAAACUUAAUUUCCUUAAAUCUUCCAUGUGUAAAACAUUGGUAGACUAAAAGGAGUGCUAACAUUACUCCCCUCUUCAAAGCGCGCUUUCCCUCAAGCGCUAAGUGUGGAAAAUAUUAGUAGUUCCCCCUUUUCUAACAAAUUCUUCCUCAUUGUAUAUAGAGUCAAUCUAGAAAAACUUCUUGCACUGAUGACCUCAAGCGAAUGGUUCAUCACAGUUGAAACAAAGUCCCUUAAGUCGCCUUUCCUCCAUUUCAGAUCUGGUCAGUUUCUUCACAAAUCUGACAUAUUGUUGAGGUGAAAAAUCUAUUGUCUUUGAUGUGCAAGCAUCUAACAAUUGCGAACAAAUGAGUUUUUCCUUGCGCUCAUAAAAUGGGGAUAAACUCAUUGCCAUAGCUAAAUCUGGAGGAUUAUGCAACUCAACCUCAAUUGCUAUAUAAUUAGUAAGACCGUUGAUAUAAAGUUCAAUUUUUUGUGACUGUGAGUGUACCAACCCGCGAAAUUAACUGCUCAAAUGUUUCUUGGUAAUCUGCCACAGACCCGAUCUGGCGUAGCUUAGCCAAUUCUCCCAAUUUCUGACUUCUGAUUGGUGGCCCAAAACGAAGGUUACAAUGACGUUUGAAGUCAUCCCAAGACAGUUGAGGUAGUUCAGUCUCUAGUUGAAGAAACCAAAGUUGUGCAUUGCCCUCCAAAUGAAAAGAAGCAAGUCCAACCAUUUCUUCUUCCCGAGUUUGUUGGUGUCGAAAGAAGUGUUCACAUCUGUUCAACCAUCCCAAAGGGUCCUCUUGGCCAUUAAAUCGUGGGAAAUCCAGUUUUGUAUGUCGAGGAAUGAUGAAACUUCCCCUCAUAAACUCAGUCCUAGAUGCUCUCCCAACUUACAUGCUGUCUCUAUUUCCCAUCCCACCAGGGAUCACUAAAAGAUUAGACAGCAUAAGAAGGAAGUUCUUCUGGCAAGGAAACAAAGAGAAUAGAGGUUUUCAUCUAGUUAAAUGGAAUGCAGUGACAACUGGAAAGAAGAAUGGUGGUCUGGGAAUAAAGAAUAUGGAGCUACAUGGCAAAGCACUCUUAAUUAAGUGGUUGUGCAAAUACUCAAAAUGGAAAAACCAAACACUUUGGAGAAGAGUGAUAGGUGCCAAAUAUGAGAAUGAAGAUAGUUGGAUGACUAAGAUUGUGACCACACCUUAUGGGAUCAGUUUAUGGAGAUCCAUAAGAGCAUUAUGGGAGGAAGUUAAACCCAAAUUCAAGAUGAAAGUGGGGAAUGGGAACAAGAUCAAAUUCUGGAAGGAUGAAUGGCAUGAGAAAGGUAACCUGGAAACUCUUUUCCCUGAUAUUUACAAUCUGGC
This 2423-nucleotide long non-coding RNA is filed under the name Solanum tuberosum (potato). Its description in RNAcentral is "long non-coding RNA (STUB_LNC003234)". The record is from RNAcentral. Lineage: Eukaryota; Viridiplantae; Streptophyta; Magnoliopsida; Solanales; Solanaceae.